AUCCUUUUGUAGUUCCUAAGCACGAUGAUGGGUUUUCAUGCACAUGUGUGAGAUGUGUUGCCCAUAAAUCUUGUUAUGAGGUUGGUACAUUACCCGUCUGAUG
This is a small nucleolar RNA of Otolemur garnettii (small-eared galago), 103 nucleotides long. The record is from Ensembl. NCBI's taxonomy places the organism in Eukaryota, Metazoa, Chordata, Mammalia, Primates, Galagidae.